ACAGGAUUCCCCUAGUAAUGGCGAAUGAAGCGGGAACAGCUCAAAUUUGAAAUCUGCGUCGCUUGCGACGCCGAAUUGUAGUUACCAGAAACACUUUCCAGGCGGUUGCGGCGCCGUCCAAGUUGCUUGGAACGGCACGUCGUAGAGGGUGAUAACCCCGUCCGUGGCGGUCGCCGUCCGCUGGUGAUGUGUUUUCGAAGAGUCGGGUUGUUUGGGAAUGCAGCCCAAAACGGGUGGUAAACUCCAUCUAAGGCUAAAUAUCGGCACGAGACCGAUAGCGAACAAGUACCGUGAGGGAAAGAUGAAAAGCACUUUGAAAAGAGAGUUAAAAAGUACGUGAAACCGUUGAAAGGGAAACGGAUGUGACUAGCAAUGCGCCCCGCGAGAUUCAGCCGGGCUUCGCUCCGGGCGGGCGGUUUCUGCGGAUCCGAAUGGACCGCGGCCGUCCGGUUCGGAGAGUCGACCGUCGCACUUCUCGCGGGCGCGAGCCAACGUCGGUUGGCUUCGGGUGUUCGAGGCUCGCGGUAAGGUGGGUCGUUCCCUUCGGGGUUCGAUCGUUAUAGACCGCGACGCGUACGGCUCGAGGGCGACCGAGGAGUUUGCGGCGUGUGCCUCCCCUUCGGGGGUUUGGCUGGGGUCCCGUUCCACCGGCCGGUUGUCGACAGAGGCGGAYKGCGUSCAGKGSGUCUSGACSGCKKUSGKUSGUUUGGGGKGGKGAYUUGGCCCCACGCGCCCAGGACGUUGGCGAUCAGAUGGUCUCAUUCGACCCGUCUUGAAACACGGACCCCGGAGUCUAACAUGUGCGCGAGUCUUUGAGUGAAGGAAACUCGCUGGCAAAAUGAAAGUGAAGGUGGCUUCGGCCGCAGAGGUGAGAAGCCCNCCCAAGGNCCGGCCGCAUCAUCGACCGACCUAUUCUGCUCUCAGGAAGGUUUGAGUAAGAGCGCAUCUGUUGGACCCG
This 958-nucleotide ribosomal RNA is filed under the name Diadumene sp. ER-2012. RNAcentral's name for it is "eukaryotic LSU rRNA". It matches the Rfam family "Eukaryotic large subunit ribosomal RNA", at positions 69 to 818 of the family's 3401-position model. Lineage: Eukaryota; Metazoa; Cnidaria; Anthozoa; Actiniaria; Diadumenidae. The record is from RNAcentral.